This 468-nucleotide ribosomal RNA is filed under the name uncultured bacterium. RNAcentral describes it as "partial 16S ribosomal RNA". It matches the Rfam family "Bacterial small subunit ribosomal RNA", at positions 28 to 507 of the family's 1533-position model. The record is from RNAcentral.
GACGAACGCUGGCGGCGUGCUUAACACAUGCAAGUCGAACGGAAAGGCCCUGCUUUUGUGGGUUGCUCGGGUGGCGAACGGGUGGUUAACACGUGAUUACCCUGCCCUUUACUUUGGGUUAACUUCAGGAACCUGGGGCUAAUACCGGAUAGGAGCUCCUGCUGCAUGUUGGGGGUUGGAAAGUUUCGGCGGUUGGGGAUGGACUCGCGGCUUAUCAGCUUGUUGGUGGGGUAGUGGCUUACCAAGGCUUUGACGGGUAGCCGGCCUGAGAGGGUGACCGGCCACAUUGGGACUGAGAUACGGCCCAGACUCCUACGGGAGGCAGCAGUGGGGAAUAUUGCACAAUGGGCGGAAGCCUGAUGCAGCAACGCCGCGUGCGGGAUGACGGCCUUCGGGUUGUAAACCGCUUUCGCCUGUGACGAAGCGUGAGUGACGGUAAUGGGUAAAGAAGCACCGGCUAACUACGUG